CUCCGCGGCGGUUGCGCCUGCUGCGUGAGGGAGAUGAGAGAAGGGAGAGCCGAGAGUAUUCGCCGUUGCUCCGGCGAGCUUCCGAGGCGGCGGAGUUUCUGGCGGAACCGAGGGAGAGAGGGCUGAGCGGGGCUGUUGGCGACGUUGGGUGCGUGCGUCUGUGUGUGAGAGACGAGAGAUGGGGGAGAAGGGAGUCAGGGGACGGCG
RNAcentral lists this long non-coding RNA (207 nucleotides) under Salvia miltiorrhiza (redroot sage). RNAcentral describes it as "long non-coding RNA (SMIL_LNC012537)". Lineage: Eukaryota; Viridiplantae; Streptophyta; Magnoliopsida; Lamiales; Lamiaceae. The record is from RNAcentral.